GGAGAGGUGACCGAGCGGCCGAAGGUGCACGACUGGAAAUCGUGUGUACCGAAAGGUACCGAGGGUUCGAAUCCCUCCCUCUCCG
This 85-nucleotide transfer RNA is filed under the name Geothermobacter ehrlichii. It matches the Rfam family "tRNA". From Rfam's summary of the family: Transfer RNA (tRNA) molecules are approximately 80 nucleotides in length. Their secondary structure includes four short double-helical elements and three loops (D, anti-codon, and T loops). The record is from Rfam by way of RNAcentral. Lineage: Bacteria; Pseudomonadati; Thermodesulfobacteriota; Desulfuromonadia; Desulfuromonadales; Geothermobacteraceae.